GGGGAAUAUUGCACAAUGGGGGAAACCCUGAUGCAGCCAUGCCGCGUGUGUGAAGAAGGCCUUCGGGUUGUAAAGCACUUUCAGCGAGGAGGAAAGGUCAGUAGCUACUAUCUGCUGGCUGUGACGUUACUCGCAGAAGAAGCACCGGCUAACUCCGUGCCAGCAGCCGCGGUAAUACGGAGGGUGCAAGCGUUAAUCGGAAUUACUGGGCGUAAAGCGCACGCAGGCGGUUGGAUAAGUUACAUGUCAAAGCCCCGGGCUCAACCUGGGAAU
RNAcentral lists this ribosomal RNA (273 nucleotides) under uncultured Aeromonas sp. RNAcentral describes it as "partial 16S ribosomal RNA". It matches the Rfam family "Bacterial small subunit ribosomal RNA", at positions 356 to 621 of the family's 1533-position model. Lineage: Bacteria; Pseudomonadati; Pseudomonadota; Gammaproteobacteria; Aeromonadales; Aeromonadaceae. The record is from RNAcentral.